AUUCUGUCGGCAGUUUCAGGUGUCGCGAAAGUGAUGAAACGGGAAGUCGGUGCAUCAGAUUUAUAGAUAAACCCGACACUGCCCCCGCAACGGUAAAUGAGUUCAGAUUGAACGUUAGCCACUGUAUCUAUUACGGGAAGGUGUUCAACCGGUGAUAGCACCGCUCAUGAGUCCGGAGACCGGCCUGAAAUAUCCUGGUCUG
RNAcentral lists this non-coding RNA (202 nucleotides) under Methylophaga nitratireducenticrescens. Lineage: Bacteria; Pseudomonadati; Pseudomonadota; Gammaproteobacteria; Thiotrichales; Piscirickettsiaceae. The record is from RNAcentral.